RNAcentral lists this ribosomal RNA (460 nucleotides) under uncultured bacterium. Its description in RNAcentral is "partial 16S ribosomal RNA". It matches the Rfam family "Bacterial small subunit ribosomal RNA", at positions 338 to 795 of the family's 1533-position model. The record is from RNAcentral.
CCUACGGGUGGCAGCAGUGAGGAAUAUUGGUCAAUGGACGAGAGUCUGAACCAGCCAAGUAGCGUGAAGGAUGACUGCCCUAUGGGUUGUAAACUUCUUUUAUAUGGGAAUAAAACGUUCCACGUGUGGGAUUUUGUAUGUACCAUAUGAAUAAGGAUCGGCUAACUCCGUGCCAGCAGCCGCGGUAAUACGGAGGAUCCGAGCGUUAUCCGGAUUUAUUGGGUUUAAAGGGAGCGUAGGUGGAUUGUUAAGUCAGUUGUGAAAGUUUGCGGCUCAACCGUAAAAUUGCAGUUGAAACUGGCAGUCUUGAGUACAGUAGAGGUGGGCGGAAUUCGUGGUGUAGCGGUGAAAUGCUUAGAUAUCACGAAGAACUCCGAUUGCGAAGGCAGUUCACUGGACUGCAACUGACACUGAGGCUCCAAAGUGUGGGUAUCAAACAGGAUUAGAUACCCCUGUAGUC